ACGAGUCAAAUAAACAAUCACGUUGUGUCUCGUUUUCGCGUUGGUGUUUUCCCUUUUUUUGUUUUUUGUUUGUUUUCUGAUGUUGGCAAUAUUUGUUGAAAUGUUCGUAUUCGUGCAAUAAUAGAAAAAGAAAUUCGACUCAAU
This 144-nucleotide non-coding RNA is filed under the name Platyophrya macrostoma. The record is from RNAcentral. Lineage: Eukaryota; Ciliophora; Colpodea; Cyrtolophosidida; Platyophryidae.